GCUAACUUCUACUCCCAUCUGAAGAGACUGAACAUGAUUUAACUAACUGUACCUGGACUGAGUAACUGACUUCCGUUGACUGACAGAAUAGUACUACUAUCUGAGAAUUAACUGAGAUCAUGAGAUUUCUGAGAUUUCCUGUGUCAUAUGACUGACUGAGUUCUAUAGAUCAUGGCUUAACUGAGAUUAUCGUGAUAACAUGACAUAGCUCUA
This 213-nucleotide long non-coding RNA is filed under the name Capsicum annuum. RNAcentral's name for it is "long non-coding RNA (CANN_LNC011005)". Lineage: Eukaryota; Viridiplantae; Streptophyta; Magnoliopsida; Solanales; Solanaceae. The record is from RNAcentral.